This 305-nucleotide ribosomal RNA is filed under the name uncultured bacterium. Its description in RNAcentral is "bacterial SSU rRNA". It matches the Rfam family "Bacterial small subunit ribosomal RNA", at positions 334 to 654 of the family's 1533-position model. The record is from RNAcentral.
CCUACCUACGGGGGGCAGCAGUGGGGAAUAUUGGGCGAUGGGCGCAAGCCUGACCCAGCAACGCCGCGUGAAGGAAGAAGGCUUUCGGGUUGUAAACUUCUUUUCUCAGGGACGAAGCAAGUGACGGUACCUGAGGAAUAAGCCACGGCUAACUACGUGCCAGCAGCCGCGGUAAUACGUAGGAUGCGAGCGUUAUCCGGAUUUAUUGGGUUUAAAGGGUGCGUAGGCGGGCUUUUAAGUCAGCGGUAAAAAUUCGGGGCUCAACCCCGUCCGGCCGUUGAAACUGUGGGCCUUGAGUGGUCGCG